This 74-nucleotide transfer RNA is filed under the name Massilicoli timonensis. RNAcentral's name for it is "tRNA-Trp". It matches the Rfam family "tRNA". Rfam says of the family: Transfer RNA (tRNA) molecules are approximately 80 nucleotides in length. Their secondary structure includes four short double-helical elements and three loops (D, anti-codon, and T loops). Lineage: Bacteria; Bacillati; Bacillota; Erysipelotrichia; Erysipelotrichales; Erysipelotrichaceae. The record is from RNAcentral. RNAcentral also lists the same sequence under 1 other name.
AGGGGUGUAGUACAAAGGCAGUAUAACGGUCUCCAAAACCGCUGAUACGGGUUCGAUUCCUGUCACCCCUGCCA